UACGGAGGAUGCGAGCGUUAUCCGGAUUUAUUGGGUUUAAAGGGUGCGUAGGCGGACGCUUAAGUCGGCGGUAAAAUUGCGGGGCUCAACCUCGUCGAGCCGUUGAAACUGGGUGCCUUGAGUGGGCGAGAAGUACGCGGAAUGCGUGGUGUAGCGGUGAAAUGCAUAGAUGUCACGCAGAACUCCGAUUGCGAAGGCAGCGUACCGGCGCCCAACUGACGCUGAAGCACGAAGGCGUGGGUAUCGAACAGG
RNAcentral lists this ribosomal RNA (252 nucleotides) under uncultured bacterium. RNAcentral describes it as "partial 16S ribosomal RNA". It matches the Rfam family "Bacterial small subunit ribosomal RNA", at positions 524 to 776 of the family's 1533-position model. The record is from RNAcentral.